GCUUUCGUAGUGCAGCGUUCAGCACGCUCGACGCGUAACCGAGAGGUCCGUGGUUCGAUUCCCGGCGAAGGUG
Molecule: transfer RNA, 73 nt
Filed under: Stegodyphus mimosarum
Lineage: Eukaryota; Metazoa; Arthropoda; Arachnida; Araneae; Eresidae
Rfam family: tRNA
About the family: Transfer RNA (tRNA) molecules are approximately 80 nucleotides in length. Their secondary structure includes four short double-helical elements and three loops (D, anti-codon, and T loops).
Source: Rfam by way of RNAcentral